RNAcentral lists this ribosomal RNA (404 nucleotides) under uncultured bacterium. RNAcentral describes it as "bacterial SSU rRNA". It matches the Rfam family "Bacterial small subunit ribosomal RNA", at positions 355 to 776 of the family's 1533-position model. The record is from RNAcentral.
UGGGGAAUCUUGCACAAUGGGGGAAACCCUGAUGCAGCGAUGCCGCGUGAGUGAAGAAGGCCCUAGGGUUGUAAAACUCUUUCACCGAUGAAGAUAAUGACGGUAGUCGGAGAAGAAGCCCCGGCUAACUCCGUGCCAGCAGCCGCGGUAAUACGGAGGGGGCUAGCGUUGUUCGGAAUUACUGGGCGUAAAGCGCGCGUAGGCGGUUUGUUAAGUUGGGCGUGAAAUCCCGGGGCUCAACCCCGGAACUGCGUUCGAAACUGGCAAGCUAGAGUUCGGGAGAGGGUGGUGGAAUUUCCAGUGUAGAGGUGAAAUUCGUAGAUAUUGGAAAGAACACCGGUGGCGAAGGCGACCACCUGGACCGAUACUGACGCUGAGGUGCGAAAGCGUGGGGAGCGAACAGG